AUGUCUAAGAUGAACCUGGCUCUGAUCCACGACAGACUCCACAUCAAGUCCUUCUGGGAGAAGAAGAUCAACGCUGAGUGUCAGCAUGUGGAGAGGGAGCAGCAGAGGAGGAGCAGCAGCGCGCUUAGCAAGCUGAGGGGGGAGUGGCUGGUCCGGCUUGAGAACCGAAACAAGCACCUGAAGAACCUCAAUGACAGCUUUGUGAAGAAGGCGAAGGAACCAGCGCAAACAUGAGCUGCAGAAACACAAAAACCCAUUUUCCUGAUCCCAGUGUUAAAGAGAGCAAUAAAUGAGUUGUUGAUCAAAAUCGUCUUCUGAUC
Molecule: long non-coding RNA, 320 nt
Filed under: Betta splendens (Siamese fighting fish)
Lineage: Eukaryota; Metazoa; Chordata; Actinopteri; Anabantiformes; Osphronemidae
Description: lncRNA (ENSBSLG00000020186.1)
Source: RNAcentral